AUGAAAACCGCUGCCAGGGGGGCAUUUGAACUCCGCCGCUCGCUGUCUCGCUCUCCCCUCUCUGCCCGGUGCACCUCUCUCCCCCCCUCCCGGCCGGCGCGCUCUCCGGCGCGCUCGCUCGCUCUCCCGCUACCCGACGAGUCCUCAACAAGUUGGAGGAAGGCAGGAACGCAGGGGUUAAGCUCGGAAAGCAGCAAUUACCAAGAUCGUGACCCUCCCACACAGUACAGUAACUUAUAUACUUACCUGGAACAGCCUGCUUUGCCGCUGGGCAAACACCCGUUGGGGGCAGGGAGGGGCGGGAGGGGAGCGGGCCGGUUGGAAAGGGACUCCUUCAAGCUGGCUGCAGUGCGGACGGGACCAGCGCGCUCGCGGGGCCUGCGGACCGAGGUAGUUGAACCUGUCUGGACUACUGGAGGUCUGCACAAGGGGUGGCCACUGAAGGAGGGUAUCUCAGAGGCCACGGGAACUGAAGAGUCUGAACCAGUGAGCUCUGGAGUCCCAGGAAAUAAAAGUCGAGUUUUGUCUUCUGAAGAACCUUGGGGACUUUUUUAAAGGCGAAACUUUUCAUCUUUAGGAUUGAACACCUUCUCACCUGAAUUUAAAGGAGAGAUUAAGUGCAAUGUUUUGAGCUAUGCUUAAAUGAAGAUGAAAUAGAAGAAGACAGAACUGUUAAAAAUACGUAAGUUUUAUUACAUGGCCAAAUGAAGGAUUCAGCUUUGUUGUCAUGGUAUUCUUAAAAAUUCCUAGCUUCUAUGAAAUUCCCUAAUUAUGGAAUUUUCUUUCAUUGUAUUGAACUACUCCUGAUUUCAUCAUGAAAAUUUGAUCUGAAACUCAAUUUACAGAAAUACUGAAAAUGAAUUUAAAAUUAAAUGGGACCAUCUGUAUACUAAUAUGAUUCAAUGUUGUUGAUUCACAUUUUCUCCAGAUUAAAGACUGUUCUGAACUCUAAGUCUUUGAAAUAAAUGAGACUGAAAUUUAAUGUGGUUGUGUCUG
Molecule: long non-coding RNA, 996 nt
Filed under: Felis catus (domestic cat)
Lineage: Eukaryota; Metazoa; Chordata; Mammalia; Carnivora; Felidae
Description: lncRNA (ENSFCAG00000043274.2)
Source: RNAcentral